UUUAUGGGAGUGGGCCAGAGGUUUUAUCUUUAUAUGUUUUUAUUGUUCUGACCGUGGGGCCGUUUCUUCUCUGAAUCUCUUUCAUUUGCUUCACUCUUUCCUCUGUUCAAGAAUUUUCAAAAUCCUAAUCAAAGGCGUUUGUUGAGUAUUUAGUUGUGUGUGGUUCUCUGCUCGAAGCAGUAUAAUUAUGCGACUUCCCUUCUGAAAGUGAAAGUGGUUUUCUUAGCCUGUCUUGGGAAAUGUGUGUCUGCUUGUCGGCUCCACUGUUCCCUGGUUAGUAGGUGCUGAACAGAAAGACUGAGGCUUUCUGGUGGGUAAAAAAUCAAUAAUAGUAGGGGCCAGGGUACUGUUUUCAACUGGCUGCAGAGAAAUUUGGGCAUAGAUAAUUCCAGUCAAAUAGAAUGCUUAAAAGAGCAAUAGAAGAAUAAAAUAUGGACUUAAGCGCAGUCAGGUUUAAAACACUGCGACCCUGCCUUAAGCUCAUCAGUCACUGUCCAGCCAGUUCCAACUGAUAUGACCCCAUGUGUGUCAGAGCAGAACUGUGCUCUGUAGGGUUUUCAGUGGCUGAUUUUUCAGAAGUAGAUCACCAGGCCUUUCUUCUGAGGUGCCUGUGGGUGGACGGUUAGCAGUUGAGCAUAGUAACCAUUUGCAUCACCAUCUCUAAACAAUGGUUAAUAAAGUUGUGCCGCUGCAGAUAAUACAAAAAGAAUGUCUUCAGUUAUCAAUUUGUAGAAAUGAGAACAGUUCAACUAUUCUUUUGGAAAAUCAUUGGUAAGUCAGCACUCACAGAUCUAACAGUUGAUUUCAGCAAAUGACUGUUAAGAAAACAGACAAGCUUACAUACAAUCAAAGAAAUCUGGCGAGGCUGGGAGUGUAAGGAACAAUGGAGCUCUGAAAAAUUGAAUUUCUUUUUUUCUUUUAAGGAGAAGAAAAUAGAAGAACACAAGAAAAGACUUCCUUUGGCUCCAGUAAAAACUAGAAAAGGAGGAAGAAGAAAACCUAUUCACGUAACAAAAAGAAGAAAUACAGAUGUGAAUGCAGCAAUAAAAGAAAGCUGGAGCGGGUGACCAGGCGGUACACACGGUGGGGACAAAGCUCGACGGGAGGCGGUCACACGGGCGAAUGCAGUUCGGAAGACACCACUUGCAAAAGACAUAAAGGAACAGAAGAGGCUGAACGAAAAUGCUCCCCUCUUCUGUAUCAGACAGGGAGGAAGAGCUCACAGUAGUGCCAUCAAAAGAACAGAGGAGAUCCGGAUUCGAUUCUUGGCCAGUGCUCCUCAUGUGCAGCUACCACCCAUCGGUCAGCGGAGGCUUGUGUGUUCCUGUGAUGCUGAACAGGCUUCAGUGGAGCUUCUGGACUAAGACUAGGAAGAAAGGCCUGGUGAUCUACUUCUGAACAUCAGCCAAUGAAAACCCUAUGGAUCACAACGGUGAGAGAAAUGAGGUGCAAGGAGUCAGAUUACCUGCUCGUGGUCACACAGCGACGUCCAGGUACAUCAGAAGUCAGAGCCCCCUUCCUCCGGUAAACAUACAUCGAGAACGCAGUUUAUCCUCUCUAUCUGUGUCAGUUUAAACUGUGAGUACCAAGCCCCAAACCCACUGCUGUGGAGUUGAUUCCGACUCACAGUGACCCUGUAGGAGAGAGUAGAACUGCCCCGUAGAGUUUCCAAGGAGCGCCUGGUGGAUUUGUACUGCCAACCUUUUGAUUAGCAGCCAUAGAUAUUACCCACUGUGCCACCAGGGUUUCCAAACCGUGAGUACAGAAAGAUGGAAAUUUAGAUUCUUAUUUUCAUGAUAUUAGAGAAAAGUGAGAACAAUUUUAUUUAAAGACAACUGUUUUGGGAUAACGUGGAUGUGUUUUUCUAUUAUUUGGUAUAGUCCUUUUGGAAUUUUCCAAGAACUCGGAUUAUCUAGGUCAACCGCAAAAUUGCAUAGCUUGGUAGAACGCUGCUGGUUAAGAUUCUGUCUUAUUCCUUUUGUAAGUAAAUUAAUUCUUUAUUUAAGAAAGGUAUUUGGGUCACCUCUGCGCUGUUUCAGCUUUCUUGGGUCCCUAGAUUGGGGGGCAAACUUGAUUGUUAGCAGUUCUAGAGUCUAGGACUCAGUGACGCAGGUGACCCAGGAGACAUUUUAUCAACGGCCAAAGACCUGCAGGAGCGGAUGCUCUUGUUGCCAUGGUUCCCUCGUGAUGCCGUUUGUAAUAAAAGGAAUAGGAGCCUGCUGAGCAUGCCCAGAGCGGUCUUAAGUGGGACAGAAUGGGCAGAGAGGGCCAGGAGCGCUCUGCUCACUUCUAUCCUGUGCUUUCCUGUCCUUCCAAGACCAAGAGAAAUUGCAGUGAAUCUUUAUCUUAUCCAGGUUCUGUGUGUAUGUGCAUUGACACAUACCGGCAUGUAUGUAACAACGGCCUGUUUCAGAUAUGCAGGGAGCGGUGUGAAUGGCAAACCCAAACUGAGUGGGUUGGGGCCUUGGUCACUUCAACCAGCCCUUGCCAUUAGUAGCUGUGCUGAUUCGUUCUCUCUCUCUCACACACACACACAAUACACACACACACACACACACACACACACACACACACACACACACACAGGGAGAAGCACAGCAGCUCACCAAAGGCGGCCCCGUGUGUGCAGAGUAGAGCUGCUCCAUAGCGUUUUCAAGGCUGUGAGAAUACGUCCUUCUCACUGGGAGACAAAUCACCAGGCCUGUCUUCCGAGGUGCCUGUGGGUGGGUUCAAGCUGCCCACCUUUGGGCUAGGAGACGACAGCUCAACCGUUUUCGUCACGCAGGGACUCCUUAAAGAGGAAGCGGAACAGGUCAUGAGCUCCCGCGGCAGGCUCACUGCACAGCAGGUCCUGACCCUGCUCUUUUCUGAGGCAAGGACGUUCAGUAACUGGAACAUCUUAGGUGGACCUCAAGAACUCCACAAGUCAGGUGCUUUCGUUUCAGAAUGGCUGCAUGACUCCAGAGUCCCUGGCCGGAGCUUCUAGGGCAGGUAUUUCUGGCCUGUCCACCCAGACCCAUGGUACCCAUGGCUCCUCUCAUCCUGAAGGCAGGCCUGAAAUGCGCUUCCAGAUCCCCAAGAAACCACUUUCUUUCUCCAUCUUCCGUCUGCCAAGGCUGAAGAACAGAGAGCUGCUUCUGGCCACAUGGUUUCCUUUAGGCCGAGGGCUAAGGGCAGGGCCCUUUCCGAGCCUGUGUAACCGAGUGGAAAUCCCUAGCGGGCGCCUAAACUCAAGCUCCUGCCACGCAGGAAAGGAACCUGCCUGCCAGCAAUUCCUCAGCCGCAGUCAGCUGGACAUUUUCCACAGUGAACAGUGUGUUCUGUCGCCUUGUGACACGCCUAAUCUGUGUUGCAUUUUGAAUAUUCUUGAAAAUGUCCAUCUAAUGAGAGGAGAAUAGGCGUCUGGGCAGAGCCGGUUCUCCUUGGCGCCACUGCACAUCUUCCACCGCCAGAAGGCAGGUUAAGGCUCCUGCAGUCUGAGCGCUGCAGCUCCAUCCUGCUGCAAGGUGGAGGUCUCCUCGGCGCCCGCCGACACUGUGUUCUUCUCCUUAGUCUACCGUCCUUAUGAAUAUUAAUGGUGAUAAUAGAAUUAGGCAGGCUGGCUUCCAGCAGAACCCGGGCUUAGUGGGAAAGGGGGAGGCUGACUGGCUGAGGAGUUAAGAAUCAGCUUGAUCCUGGGCCCUGGUGAGAGUUAUUUUGUUCUAAAGGAGAUGGUCUGUGGUGACCCACUGCCAGCCCUGCAGCACUGCUGAUGGGUACCGCUGACAGCUGAAAGCCGGACCCUACAGUCUGUCCGGUGUGGUGUUACAGCUGGUGUGUGCGAAUGUGGUGUGUGCAGUGACAGUGCCCACACAUCCAAGGUCAGCCUGACCAGGGAUAUAUUCACCACGAGGAAGUUUGCUAGGAGAACCCAUUGUUUAAUGCACAGCCAUCCAUACUUCGUAGUUUUCCUGUCUUCAUGACUGUCUCAUUCAUGCCGUGAACUAUUCUAAAGGGAAGUGGAGGCAGGGAAGUGGGAGUAGUCAGGAAGCUUUCAGAGAGAAGAGAUCGCAGUCUGCAGAAAAAGCCUGCCAAAGCCAGUGUACCAUGUAUCCCCCGCUGAGUCCAUUCCCCUUGGAAAUUCCACUAAUUUUUGCUGCUUCUUUAAGCGUUGGAUGUCACCAUAUGGAAUCCCCCUACUGUUCCCAGGGCUGUCGGUGACUCUGGGCUGGGCUGCGGCACCUGUGUGUUGUCCCAGGCAGUCAACCUGCCAGAGUAGUGUGGGGAGGGAGGGCGAGGGGGAGUAUGCCUUCCUUGAGAUUCACCCAUUUUUCUGUUCCUCCGAGCAAUUAUCUAUGCUGUGGGGAUUAUGGCUGGUGGCAGGAGUGAACCAGAUACAGUCUGAGCAGCUGGAGAUCAUGCUGCCUGUACGUAGGGCAUGUCUACCAGUGUUCCCUGGGGCAAAGGAAAGAAAAGCCUCUCGAGCUGAGCUUCUGUGGCUCAUUCUGGAGCUGCAACAGCAACACCGUUUACCGUGUCAUUCUCCAUUAGGAAAGGGCCUUGGGCCCCCAAGGCUGUGUGGUGCAGUGGAUGGUGCCCCAACCUAAACGGUGGAUGAUCCAGGUUUCAGCCCAAAUGCUGGUAACGUAGUUGCAGCAUCAGUGGUGUGACAUGGCAGACAAAAUAAAUCUGGUAUGUUCUUGGCAUACAGGAGUGGAGGGCCUUCUAAUACAGAGGGGAUGAAAGUCCCACCAGGCCCUCAUGCCUGCAGGUCUGGAAUCCGUGCUGGGUGUCAUACUUGAAGAGCAAUACAGAUAAGCUAAAACCUGCUCAGAAGACUUCGUCCAGGGCAGGGAAGGAUGUGAAACCACGUCACUUCAGGAGCCUGCAGAGGAACUGAGGCUGCUAGCCUGAAGAAGUGAUUUGGGGAAGGUGUGACUAUCUGCCAGCUUGCCAUGGGGAAGAGGAAUUAGAUUCAUUUUGUGAGGCUCUAGAGGAACUUUAUGAUAGUCGAAGUGUCUUAAGAUGUCCCAGAGGUUGUCACUGGGGGUAAUGACACCACAUUCUGUGACUCUCUGCUGUGUUUAUUUUGAUGCGGUACAUUGAGGUGGCCAUUUUGACAUCAUGGACCUUUGAAAUUUCUUUUAGUAUAAAAUCAAACUUGUUUGACAGUAGUAGAACAUAGCAAGUAGUUUCAUUCCUACCAUUAAUGUUUCUUCUUCUUCUUUUUUUUAACUAAGUAAUGUGUAAAACAGAUGCCUUUGGCCCAGUUCCCUGCUCCCUCCCUCUUCCUGACCCAGGCUCUGUUCCUGACACUUGCUGGCAUCCCUGGGACUUGCCCUACCCUUCAUGUGUCUGUCCCUUUUGAUUCGACUGAAGAUGGGGAUCUGAUGAUACUGAAAAUUAGUGACAUGUCUCCAGGGUGGAGCUGGGGCUGGGAGCUGAAAAUACUAAGAGGAGUCACAGCUUUAUUUGUAUUUUAGAGUGUUUGGUAUUUUCUGCCGUUACCAAAAAAGUCUCAAUUUUAAUUUUUUACUCUAUAUGUCAAGAUGUCCAUGUGUCAAAACGGCCUCAUCAAAAUAUCGCUCUUACAACUAGCUGGACGAAUACUUGUCAAGUAUAUCACAGAAGGAACUCAAGAAUCAUGUGGUUAGUUGAACAUGAUUAUUUUGCAGAUAUUUUGUGAAUCUAAAAUUCUAUGCUUGAACACAAUAGUUUCCAGGGGCAGGCCCUUGGAGCAUCCUGGUCUCUGAUAAAGUUUUCACCAUCUGCAUUAAAAUGCAGAAAAAUAAGCACGAUGCAUUUAGUUUUCCUUAAGGCUAAAUUUCUUCAAUUUUAAAGGCUUUUCUUUAUUCUGAGAUAAGGGGUUUUAUUUUCUUUACUUUUGCUGUUGCCGUUAAAAUAUUCUUCCUUUUUUUCAAAUCAUGGUAAUAGUAGAUGGUGUUUUAAGAUGUCAAUGGACAUUUGUCCUACGUUAGUUUUUUCUUUGAUCUGUAAAAUUCCAAAGUCUGGGAACCCUGAUUUAAGUCACUUCAUCUUUUUGAACCUCAUUGAUUCACUUAUGAAAUAGGUAUAGACUCACAUGGGCUACCUAGCCCUCAGCACAGUUUUAAGUUUCAGAUAGGCUAAUGAAGGUCACGGACCAUUGUAGACAAAGUGCUGUAUACUUUUCACUGAGUGGACAGCGAUGUCAAUAUUGGCCAAAUGAGUCGUUGUAUGGAUAGAUGUACGGAUGGUAAAGCAGAAGAAAAACUCCUCUUGCCCUCAUUUUUCCUUAACUGGCAUUUUCUCCUCUGCUUCCAGGAGCCUAAAUAAAUGGCAGCCAGGGAGCCUUGUGUGAUUUCAAACUCAGCAUGACAAAGUUUCCACUGGGGCAGCCAGAAAAAGACUAGUGUGCAGAGAAGCCAGCAUGGACCCUUCUGUGGAAUGUGGGGUGUCGUGGUUAUCUAGUGCUGCUAUAACAGAAAUACCACAAGUGGAUGGCUUUAACAAACAGAAAUUUAUUCUCUCAUAGUCUAGGAGGCUAGAAGUCCCCAUUCAGGGUGCCAGCUCCAGGGAAAGGCUUUCUCUCUUUGUCGGCUCUGGGGAGAGGUCCUUGUCAUCAAUCUUCCCCAGGUGAGGAGUUUCUCAGCACUGGGAGCCUGGGUCCAAACGAUGAGUUAUUCUCCUGGCUGUACUUUCUUGGUGGUGUGAGGUCCACAUCUCUCUGCUCCCUUCUCUCUUUUAUAUCUCAAAAAAGAUUGACUUAAGACACAAUCUAAUCUUGUAGAUUGAGUGCUGCCUCGUUAACAUAGUUGCCUCUAAUCCUGCCUCAUUAACUGUGUAGAAGUAGAAUAUACAACACAGGAAAAUCACAUCAGUUGACAAAAUGUUGGACAACCACACAAUAUUGGGAGCCACAGCCUAACCAAAUUGACACAUAUUUUUGGGGGACACAAUUCAAUCCAUGACAUGGGGUGAGGGGAGAUGGUAGGAGGCCUAAAAAGGAGGGAGAGGAGUGAUAUCAACCGUCCUAAUGUAGGAGUGAACUUAGGGUGUGUUUAUCAUGUCAUCUCUGCCCAGUCAAGUGUGAAGAACUGGAUUGCGAUGUGGAGACCACACCUCAGACCAAUUAAAUCAUGAAUCUCUGGUAUAGACAUCUACAGUUUAAAAAACUUUCCAGAUGAUUCUAAUAUAUAGCCAAGGCUGAGAACUACGGCUUUAAGCCUGAGAGGACACUUUGAAAAGAGAAGCCAGGUUCGUUUGUGCAGAUUUCUAUCAAAUGUAUCACAUUCUUCCCUUCAAUUUUCAAGGAGGUCAUUGCAGCCAGUGGGGGUUUUGCUUGGUGCUCACUCUAAGGCCUCGCUGACUGUGCUUGGUCUCCCCGUGGCCAUCUGUCUUUUUCUCCAUCUUUUGUCUUAAUAUUUCAGCUAGGGAAGUAAUAAAGUAUUGAGGUUAAGAGUCAGCUUCUGAAGAAAUUCUUGCCUUGUGUAAGGAAGCAGGUACAAGGAUGUUCAUAGCAGCAGUGUUUCUAAUGGUGAAAAUGUGGAAACAACUCAGUGCCCAUCAGUACGGCAAUGGAUACAUCAGCGAUCAAUGGCAGCCAAGAUGGAAUACUGUACAGCAACUAAUGUGAACAAAUCAAAUCCUGAAAUAUCAUCUUAUAACAUUCAAAAUAUAAUGUUGCAUGAAAAAAAGCAAGUUACAGAACAAUAUGUAGAGAAAGUAACUAUUUAAAUACUUUAAACACACAAUAUAAUACUAUGCACUAUUUCUGAGCAUCUCUACAGGUGGUUAUUGUACACAGGGUUAUCAACCACCUCAUAUUGCAACCUGAUCCUAUGAAUGCCAGUAAAUCUCCAUUAGUCAUAAAAGACUGCCUUAAACCAGCUCAAGCCACACCUGGGCUGGCUGCGGCUAUUAGUAGACCUCAACAGAGGAUGCAGCAACAGGUGGAAUGCAUCAGAAGGAAAAUCAUCACCCGGACCCCAUUCUGAAGAAGUGAGAGGUCCAGCAAGAACCACCACAUCACCUCCUGUUUCCUAGCCACCAUAAUUCCUGCAAUGUCUUCCUUCUAGAAUUUUUCCUCCCCACUACUCCUGCACGGCCACCAUCUCGCUGUUCAAAUUAUAUAUAAGCUCCGUUUCCCCAUAGCGUGGGGAGUCGGAUUGGAGGAACUGCCUCCCGCCUCUUUGCUCUGCACAUUGCAGUAAAGUUACUUUGUUUUCCUCAAAGACCAGUGUUCAGAUCAUUGGCAAGUCUGAGUGUGCCAGACAAGGACCCACCUUCCUGGGUGGCAACAAUAUGCAUGUGAAAGCUGGACGAUGAAAAAGGAAGACAGAAGAAGAGUUGGUGCAUUUGAAUUGUGGUGUUGGCUGAGAUUAUUGACUGUACCAUGGACUGCCAGAAGAACGAACAAAUUAGUCUUAGAAGAAAUACAACCAGAAUGCUCGUUAGAAGUGAGGAUGGCAAGACUUUGACUCACUUACUUUGGACAUGUCAUCAGGAAAGACUAAACAUUAGAAAAGGACAUCCUGUUGGGUAAGGUAGAGGGUCAGCAAAAAUGAGGGAGAUCCUUCAUGAGAAGGAUUCACACAAUAGCCACAGAAAUGGACUCAGAAGACAUUUCUUUCUCUUAUACAUAAGGUGGCUAUGUAUUGGAGCUGACUCAAUGGCAACUAGCAACAACAACAACAUACAGGUGGUCCCAGUAAAAAAAAAAGGACUACAAGGACACACACCAAAGUCAACCUGAUGGUUAUCUUUGGGAAAGGAAAGGCAUGGAAUCGAGGAGAGGUACAAGGAAGGCGUUUCGAUAGUGUUUCAGUGCUUUUAUAAAAAAAAUAACUGAAGCAAAUAUGAAAUAUUCCAUUACAUAAAUUCCACGUUAUGAGUACAUGGAUAUUUGUAUAUUCUGUUCUUUACUGCAGCUUAAAAAGUUUUGAAAUACAAAAAUAUAACUACCAUAAGAAAUUGGCCUCUGGAAUAAGAUCUUCUUGGCUUCAACUCUUGGCUCUGCCACUUGCUGUAUGUAUGACCUUAAGCUAUUUAAGCUUUGGAGGCCUUAGUUUCCUUCCCCAUCUGUAAAAUGAGCACAGCACUUCAAGCAGUGCUGACACAUGGUUAGAAUACCGUACAGGUUAGCUGUUCUUAUUAACAUCCUCAAAUUGAGAUGAUGUAGAUUGGCUGUUCCUGCUCAUCCUUUGAAACCCAGGUCAGGUGUUAUCCCCUUCAGAAAACCUUUCCUGACUGUCAUGGAUUGAAUUGUUUCUCCCCAAACCAUGUGUCAACUUGGCUAGUUCAUGAUUCCCAGUAUUGCGUGAUUGUCCACCAUUUUGUCAUCUGAUGUGAUUAUCCUAUGUGUUGUAAAUCCUACCUCUAUGAUGUUAAUGAGGCAGGAUUAGAGGCAGUUGUGUUAAUGAGGCAGGGCUCAAUUUAUAAGAUUAGGUUAUGUUUUUAGCCAAUCUCUUUCGAGAUAUAAAAGAGAGAAGUGAGCAGAGAGACAUGGGGAUCUCAUACCACCAAGAAACAAGGGCCAGGAGAAUAUCACAUCCUUUGGACCUCAGGUCCCUGUGCUGAGAAGCUCCUUGACCGGGGAAGACUGAUGACAAGGACUUUCUUGAGAGCCACCAGAGAGAGAAAGCGUUCCCCUGGAGCUGGCACCCUGAAUUCGAACUUAUAGCCUACUAGACUGUGAGAGAAUAAACUUCUCUUUGCUAAAGUCAUCCACUUGUGGUAUUUCUGUUAUAGCAGCACUAGAUAACUAAGACACUGACCAUCUGAGUUAGGUGAUCUUAUAAUAACUUAUUCUGUCCUGCAGGACACAUAUCAUAUGUUAAUGAUGAUGACUAAUGUUUACUGAAUACUUGCUAUGUGACAAGCAUUCUUUUGAGGAUUUUACAUGUGUCUUCUCAUUGAAUUCUCACACUGCUCUUGAGUUUAGUACCAUCAUUGCUCCCACUUACAGACUAUUUUACAAGUACCUGUUUGCAGUCUUUUCUAACAGGUGGUGAGCUUCUGGGGGUUAGGGAUGUGAUAGGUCAGCUCUGCACCCUCAGUGCUGGGCACUGUGCUCAUAACGAGGUGGUCAUUUAAGAAAUUGCUGAGUGAAGAGUGAACGAAUGCAUAAAAUAGGCAAAGCAGUUCCCUGCCCUUGAUCACUACAUGGCUAACAUGGGAAAUGGAUUUCUGAGUUAUACCAAGUGGUCCGAUGGGCACAGACUGUAGGCCUUUGGUUGGAAGGAUCUGUUACAGGCUCUGUCUCCACAUACUAGGGCUGCUGUACAAAGUGCCAUAAACUGGGUGGCAUUUAAGAAGAUAAUUUAUUGUCUCAGAGUUCUAGGGCUAGUAGUUCAGAUUUAGGGUGCCUGCAGGACCUUGCUCUCUCGGAAGUCUCUGUGUCUCUUUUUCUCUUUUAAAAGGACGCCACUCGGAUGGGAUUAGGAUCCACCCUACUCUAAUAUGACCUAACUUAACUGAUAUGAUCUUCAAAGACUCUAUUUCCAAACAAUGUCACACACAGCCACAGGUACUAAGGGUUAGGAUUCAACAUAUUUUCUGGGGGACACAGUUCAAGCCACAACAGGUUCCUUGGCUCUUCCUCGUUGGCAUGAGGGCCAAGUCUCAGAGGGAUCACACAGCAGAGGGAGUGAAUGCCUCCUCUCAGGAACAAAGCUUAUUGAUCAUUUCGUAGUUAAAAACGGGCGUCAUGUGCUCCUUCCCAAAACCUUUUGCUUGGCUGAUUCUUGUCCUUUAGAUCUCAGCUUAAACAUUCCUUCCUCAGAAGGCUUUCCCGACCGUCCAAGCAGAAGCAGGCCUCCUUCACAUACACUUUCGCAAUCCUGUAUGCUUCCUGGCUAGUGUUAUGACUGUGUGUGCACAGUUGUCUGAGAGACCACUGCCAUCUCUGUGUGAGGUCCUGUGCUCCUGAGGGAAGGCACCAUCUUGGUUCUGUGCUCUGCUGUGUUCCCUGUGCCCAGCGGGGCCUGGCUCACUGAAGGUGCUCAGUGCAUAUUUGUUGAGUGAAUGAAAAUCAGGAAAGGAUGGGAGCGGGAAGGAGUGGGCUAUUGAAACCUGAGGGGAAUUUGAUGGGUGUUCAAAUUCACAGCUGCUACUGAUAAAGUCUGUGGUUAAUGUUUUCAGGCCAACAUCCUAGGGGCGUGUGAGCUUCUCACCAUCUGGGAGAGUUGCAUUACUGAUAAGUGACUUUUCUAUAAGGAAUCCCAAUCAGUGGCAAGAUCUUUUGUGAAGGCAUAACUCAGCUCCCUCUUCUCUCUUGAAGUGGUUCUCAACUGGCACUGUGUGAAUCAGGAUCACUUGGGGGUGCUUAAAAAUGCAAGUAAUCUGCCCCCACACACCCAUUCACAUACUUACACACACCCUGAAUCAGAACCUGUCAGGGUGGGGCCCAGAGGGCAUGUGUAUGGGGAGGUACAUCCGGGUAACGGAAGAAGAGAGUGGCUCUCUUCUUUCAGGCCAAUGCUUACUCAGUCUCUGGUGUUCUCAGUUUAUACUUAGGGAGUUCCUGACAUGCCUACUAUUAUGGAUUAAACAGUGCCCCCCCGCCCCAAAAUAUAUAUAUGUGUUAGAAUCCUAACCCCUAUACCUAUUUACAUUACCAGCUGUGUGAGGCCAAAACCCAGUCAGUUUGGAAAUAUGGUUUUCUUUGUUAUGUUAAUUAGUUCUCUACCCAAGUUAGGGUGGGUUCUAAAUCUAAUCACUUCUGAGUUAUAAAAACAGCAGAUGAGACACAGAGAUACUCACAUGUGGGGGAAGACGGACACUGCAUGUGAGGACUAUCUAUAGUCAGGGAAUCAAAGAAUGCCCGGUUGGACUCCUGAUUUGGACUCCCAGGCUCCAGGACUUGGAGAAAAUAAAUGUCUUUCUUUAAAGCUACCCACUUGUGGUAUUUCUGUUACAGGAGCACUAGGAGACUGAGACAUCUACCUUUCAGGUGGAGGAACUAGAUCAGUCUUUGAAGGAAAAAGAAGAUGGAUUAUCUUGUCUAGCACAGAAAGAUGGAUUUUUCCACUGUUCCUUUUAUCUCAUUCAUCCUCAUCCUCUCUCCUUCUCGUUGUCUUUGUUGGAUCAUCCUUGACUAAACCUUAAGGAAUGGAUGAAGUGAUGAAUGGAGACAGCCUGAACAUGGGGAAAAGUGAACGGAGGACUCGGCUAUGUCAGGAGGCUGCUGGGUUUUGGCCUCACAAGCCUGAGACUGUGAACUGAUUUGUGGUAUGACUGCUCUGACAGAGAUCACAACAGAGGGUCCCAGACAGAGCUGGAGAAAAAUGUAGAACAAAAUUCUAACUCAAAAGAAAAAAAAAACAGACGAGACUUACUGGUCUGAAACAGACUGGGGAGACCUUGAGAGUAUGGUUCCUGGACACCCUUUUAGCUCAGCACUGAAGUCACUCCUGAGGUUCACCCUUCAGCCAAAGAUUAGAUAGGCCCAUAAAACAAAACAAGACUAAAGGAGCAUACCAGCCCAGGGGUAGGGAUAAGAAGGCAGGAGGAGACAGGAAAGCUGAUAAUAGGGAACCCAUGGUUGAGAAGGGGAGAGUGUUGACAUGUUGUGGGGUUGGCAACAAAUGUCACAAAACAAUAUUUGUACUAAUUAUAUAACGAGAAACUGCUUCGUAAACCUUCAUCUAAAGUACAAAAAAAAAUUGUGAGCAUGUGAACCAUUCUGUAGUGCUCAAAAUGAUUGCACAUGAGCUAUUCCUUCCCCCAAUUCCCAAAAGCACUAUCUAGAUGAUUCCUCAUGGUUCUCCGAGGAGGGAGAUCCAGCAUGUGGAUGGACUGCUAUCUCCCUGUUCUCUCGGCUGAGCUGGGAUGUCCUGCUUGGUCAGCAGGUGGGUGCACAUUGCUUGUCUCUGCAUCUCCUUGUCCUCUCAUUGAAAGAACACUGAGGGGUAGGUAGUACAGCCCAGACUUUUCACUUAUGAGAAAACUGAGGAGACUCUGAGAGCAUCAGUCAUUUGCUGGCAGGGAGCAGACACGGGCCACGAAACCCAGUCUUCUGAAAUGUGUACCAGGGUCUUUUCCACCACCUUCUCCUUUUCCCCUGGCCUUGGUGGAAGCAGGCCCCAAACAAGGUGCCAAAUAGCUGACUUGGCUCAGUGGGACUCUAGGAUAUUCCCUCUGAUCGCUGACUGGUGAUGUUAAGUGUUCCUGUCCUGUCUAUGAGGUAGGAGCCUCAAACCUGAGCAGUAAUUAAACUCACCAGUCUUAGAAGAAAUACAACCAAAAGUGAGGAUAGCAAGACUUCCGCUUACUUACUUUGGACACAUCAUCAGGAAAGACCAAUCACUAGGAAAAGACAUCAUGUUUGAUAAAGCAGAAGGUCAGUGAAAAUGAGGGGAACCCUCAAAGAGGUGGAUUGACACCAUAGGCACGACAAUGGACUCAAACAUACCAACAAUCAUGGAGAUGGUGCAGGACCAGGCAGGUUUUCAUUCUGUUUGCUGUGAGUCAGAACUGACUUGAGGGCAACUAACAGCAACGAGAGAUGCUUGAGAUGAGGACAUGGUCUGCGGUAUUUGUUGAAGUCUGUAAGGGCAGAACUGCAGCUGCCCCACUCUUAGCCUAUUAGCCUCAUUUUUGUUCCAUUUGAUAUUUGAAAAUUGCCAUUUAUUAACUGCUUCAUGCAACAAAUAUUGAUCGAGGGCUUGAAAUGUGCCAGACACUGGCAUAGAUGCUGGGACUGCAGCUGUGUGGAGCAAAGAUAGGGCCUCUGGGCCCUGCAGCCUAUGUUCAGAGAAGCUGGAGAGGCUGUGUACAGGGAGGGAGUGGUGGCGAGGUAUGGAGCGUGUUGCUCUUCAGACAGGAAGCUUAGAGAAGUUCUUCUGAGCAGCGGCUGAAUGCAGCCAUCUUGGGAAGACUGUUCCUUGCUCAAAAGCCCUGAGGUGGGAGCAGGUUUGAUGUUGUGAGGGGAUAGCAAGGAGUCAGCACAGCUGGAGAAGGGAGAGACCAGGGACAGUGUUAGCAUCCAGGGCAGACUGGCUGUUGAGGACAAAGCCUCAUUUGGCAGGUGGCUCUUAUAGUUCAUGGAGGGACGUGGGAUUUUAUUCUGAGUGUGAUGGGAAACCUCUGCAGGGCUUUAGCUCUGACUUGGAUUUUUACAGAUCAGUGUGGCUGUUGUGUGGAGGAUAGACAGCGAGGGUAAGAGAGGACCUGAGGGUAGUCCCGGAGGAGGGUGGGGACUGGAUAGUGGAGGUGGGCUGGAGGGGUCCGAUUCAGCCAUUUGCUGAUGGGCUGGGGGUGGGGGGCUGAAAGAGAGAGGUGUUCGGAUGAGCUACUGCCAGGUCUAGGACUUGGAUACCUGAGCAGGUUCAAUGGCCCUGGGCACUGCUGGGAGUUCAGAAUGGGGAGACUCCAGGCAGGGGUGGGCCAUCAGGGGCAAGUGCUUCUCUGGGGCUGCUGCAAUAGCUUCCUGGCCAGCCUCCACUCUGAUAACCCGAGUUACCUUUCUAAAGGAGGUUUGGCCGUCUCCUUGCCCUGACCAACCAUAUGUCCCAUUGCCUUUAGACUCAGUCCUGCUAGCCCUGCAGCAAUAAAGGCCUCAAGCUGCCUGAUCAGCCACUCCUUGACUGCUUUAAGCCUCCAUUCUAGCCACACCACUGCCCCCCACCCCGCCCGUGUGGGCGCCUGUAAUCUCAUACCCCUGCUCUGUGUGCUCCUCACACUUCUCUACCUUUCAAGAACCUUAUGAAGCCUAGUAAACACUCUACCUUCUCCAAGUUCACAUCUCAGACUUUUUACAAUGGAAUGAUUCCUUUUCGACAAAACUUGAUUUGUGCGUUUAGUCUCGUCCCCAUCUAAUUCUUCUCUGUAUGUAGUUACAUAUCUUUAAAUAUACAUAAAAAACCCAAUAUAUAUAUGCAUAUAUGUUAGCUGCUGUUGAGGAGGCCCCAACCCGUGGCAACCCCAUGAACAAUGGAAUGAAGCUUUGCCUGGUCCUGCGCCAUCCUCAUGAUCAGUUGGAGAUCGGACCACCGUGAUCCCAUUUUUGAAAGUAGAUCACUAGACCUUUCUUUGUAGUCUGUCUUAGGAAGUGCUACUGAAACCCAUUCAGCAUCACAGCAACAUGCAAGACUCCACUGACAGACAGGUGGUGGCUGCACAUGAGGUUCACUGUCCAGGAAUCGAACCCGGGUCUCCUGCAUGGAAGGCAAGAUUUCUACCACUGAAUGACUAAUGCCUCAUAUAUGUACUUAAAAACCAAAAACCAAACUCAUUGCCAUGAAGCCGUUUCCGACUCAUAGUGACCCUAUAGGACAGAGUAGAACUGCCCCAUAAAGUUUCCAGAGGUGGGCUGGUGGAUUCGAACUACUGACAUUCUAGUUAGCAGUGUAACACUUAACCAUUGUGCCAGCAGGGCUCCAUGUGUGCAUGUAUAUAUGUGUAUAUAUUUUUAUACAGUGCACAUUUUGUUAUAAUCAUAUAUCACUAUAAUAAUGCUUUUAUUAAUGUAAUGUUUUUAUUACUAGAUUAUGUACUUUUCAAGGACAAAGCUUGUACAAAUCAAGUACAAAAGUUCUUAUUCUGUAUCCUAAACUAACCCAGAGGUCUUUUACCCUCAGCAAAUGAUUUGACUUGUAUCGACAAAGGGACUAGGAGAGGAGUUGUGAAGAAGAAAUACGUCCAAGCCCCCUGAUUAUAGCUAUUACUGGAGUAGAAGUGACAGUAAAGUGCUUUCAGAAACCUGGAAAUAGGGUAGCUUUCUCUUUCAGGUGCAGCUCGCACCCUCCAUAUGAUCCAGUGAGCCUUCAUAUUUCCCAGCCUCCUUUGUGGUUAGAUUGGCUGUGUAAGUAGCUUUGGUCAAUGAAAUGUGAGUGGGAAAGCAGAUGUCUUGUUUCCAGUCCUGGCACAUAAGAGUUAGUACUCUCCUCCAUCUUUCCUUUCCCACUGCUCUGAUCCUAGAAGCCUUGUGUUGACUUGCUGAUCACAGAAUGGAUAGAACCUCGUCCAGAAUCAGCAGAUGGUAGAGGGCCUGCUGUCUACGCCAGACUUUAGAAGAAUAAGAAGCAAACUGCCCUGCUAAGCCACUGAGAUUUUAAUUUACUUAUUAACUCAACAUAGCCUAGCCUAUCCUGAUUACUAUAUCUUCUCAAAGUGAAACUAGUAAAAUCUGCACAUUUUUGAGUGGUGCCUGCAUAUAGUGCAGCAAACAUCUAUAAACCAGGCAUGAGUUUUCUCCUCCUCAGUCAACUGAUCAUAAGGAACUCCCCAUAAGGCCAUAGAUGCAGACUGGAAGAGGGAAGGUAAUGUCACAGGAGUGGAGACCGUGGGCAUUUGGACCACUUUCUCAUGCAACUUACUUGUGCCUUCAGGUCCUGCUCGGGCCCAAUCUUGUAUAUCCCACUUCCAUUUAACGAAGUGUUGUUGUGCGUGUCUGACUUAGUGGCUCUGCGGGUCAGACAACACUCAGUUCAUGAGAGGCAGCUCAGGCUGCAUGGUGACUUGGUGGCCCACGGUUAAGUGUACAGUCUCUACUACCACCACCACUGUGGUAGUAGAGACUACACUUAACCAAAGGCCCGGUAAUAAGCCAGAAGCUGCUUUUCAAAAGGAGAGUAGUUAUCUGCAGAGGAUGGCAGGUCUUUGCUCCAAGCUCCUAGGGGUCUGCACUGCGAUUUACCAAUAAGGUCCUCCCAAAGACUCCAAACAGCAUCUCUAUCUGUGACUGACACUUCAAGCACCCUUAGAUCAGCCAUAUCAUAUGGCUCAAGCAGUAAAGUGGAUUGCACAGUAGCCUGAACCCAUUGCAAAGCCUUCUCUUGUUCUGGGCCCAGCUCAAAACUAGCAGCUUUUGGAGUCACUUCAUAAAUAGUCCAGAGUAGCACACCCAAGGAUGCAAUGCUGGAAGUGCUCACUUGCCUAUGCCAAAAAAUUUGGAAGACAGCUACCGGGCUAACCAACUGGAAGAGAUACGUAUUUGUGCCCAUUUUAAAGAAAGGCGAUCCAACAUAAUGCAGAAAUUAUCAAAAGAUAUCAUUAAUAUCACACACAAGUAAAAUUUUUUUGAUGAUAAUUACAAAAUGAUUGGAGCAGUACAUCAACAGGGAACUGCCAGAAAUUCAAGCCGAAUUCAGAAGUGGACGUGGAACGAGGGAUAUCUUUGCUGAUGUCAGAUAGAUCUUGGCUGAAAGCAGAGAAUACCAGAAAGAUGUUUACUUGUGUUUUAUUGACUAUGCAAAGAUAUUCGACUAUGUGGAUCAUAACAAAUUAUGGAUAACAUUGUGAAGAAUGGGAAUUCUAGAAUACUUAAUUGUGUACAGGAAGAACCAAGAGGCAGUUGUUCUAACAGAACAAGGGGAUACUGUGUGGUUUAAAAUCAGGAAGUGUGUGUCAGGGUUGUAUCCUUUCACCAUACUUAUUAAGUCUGUAUGCUGACCAAAUAAUCUGAGAAGCUGAAGUAUAUGAAGAAGAAUAUGGCAUCAGGAUUGGAAGAAGACUCAUUAACAAUCUGUGCUAUGCAGAUGACACAACCUUGCUUGCUCGAAGAAAGGAGGACUUGAAGCACUUAGUGAUGAUCGAAGACCACAGCCUUCAGUGUGGAUUACACCUCAACCCAAAGAAAACAAAAAUCCUCAUAACUGGACCAAUAAGCAACAUCAUGAUAAAAGGAGAAAAGAUUGAAGUUGCCAAGCACUUCAUUUUACUUGGAUCCACAAUCAACGUCCAUGGAAGCAACCAUUAAGAAAUCAAAUGACAUAUUGCAUUGGGUAAAUCUGCUGCAAAAGACAUCUUUAAAGUGUUAAAAAACAAAGAUGUCACUUGGAGGACUAAGGUUCACCUGGCCCAAGCCAUGAUAUUUUCAAUUGCCUUAUAAGCAUGCAAAAGCUGAACAAUGAAUAAGGAAAACCAAAGAAAAAGCUGGACAAUAAAUAAGGGAGACUGAAGAAUUAAUACCUUUGUACUAUAUUGGUGAAGACUAUUGAAUAUACCAUAGACUGCCAGAAGAGUGAGAAAAUCUGUCUUGGAAGAAGUACAGCCAAUAUGCUCCUUAGAUGUGAGGCUUUGUUUCACUACUAUCACCAUGUUAUCAGGAGGGACCAGUCCUUGGAGAAGGACAUCAUGCUUUGUAAAGUAGAUGGUCAGUGAAAAAGAGGAAGAUCCUCAACAAGAUGGAUUGACACAGUGGCUGAAAAAAUGGGCUCAAAAUAGCAAUGCUUGUGUGGGUGGUACAGGACCGGGCAGUGCUUUUUUCUGUUGUAUAGCAGAUCGCUAUGAGUUGGAACCAACUGUAUGGCACCUAAGAACAACUAAUAGCACACCCAAAUGAGGGAUGUAUUGCCUCCAAAAUUCAAAGAGGCCCACAGCUGUGUGCCUCAUUUACAGUUGUGGGAGGGGCCAGUUGCAAUAACUCAUCCUUCACUUGCGGAGGAAUAUCUUGACAUGUCUCAUACAACUGGACCCCUAGAAAUUUCACUGAGGUGGAGGGUGUCUGAAUUUUUGUUGGAUUAAUUUCCCACCCUCUAGCAAACAAAUAUUUUAGCAAUAAGUCCAGAGUAAUUGACACUUUAUCAUUACUAGGUCCAAUCAGCAUAAAUUCAUUAAUGUAAUGGACCAGUGUAACAUUUUCUGGAAGGUAAAUGCAACCAAGUUCCCUGGGGACUAAAUUAUGACACAGGGCUGGAGAGCUGAUAUAUAUGAGGUAGGAUACUGAAGCUGUACUGCUGGUCUUGCUGCUGAAGGCAAACUACUUCUGAUGUGCCUUUGAAACCAGAAUCAAGAAAAAGGCAUUCGCUAGAUCAUUAGCUGCAUACCAGGUACCCACCCAGUGCCGUCGAGUCAACCAGGUACCAGGAGAUGUACUAAUUUGCUCAAGCAAUGAAACUACAUAUGGAACAGGAGGCGAAACUGGAGUCACUACCUCGUUAAAUUUACGAUAAUCUUCUGUCAUUCCCAAGAUCCAUCUGUUUUUUGCACAAGCCAAAUAGGCAAGUUGAAUGCAAAUAUGGCGGGAAUCACACCCCUGCGUCCUUCACGUCCUUGAUGGUGGCAGUAAUCUCUGCAAUUUCUCCAGAAAUGUGGUAUUGCCUUUGGUUUAAUAUUUUCCUAGGUAGGGGCAAUUCUAAUGGCUUCUACUUGGUUUUUUUCUAUCAUAAUAGCCCUUCCUCCACUUGUCAAGGAUCCAAUGUGGGCGUUCUGCCAGUUGCUGAGUAUAUCUAUUCCAAUUAUGCAUUCUAGAACUGGAGAAAUCACUACAGGAUGGGUUUGAAGACCCACUGGACCCAAUGUCAGAUUAACCUGCCUAAAACUUCAUUAGUAACCUGACCUCCAUAUGCCCUCACUCUGACUGAUGGGCCACAGUGAUGUCUUGGGUCUCCUGGAAUUAGUGUCAGUUCAGAGCCAAUAUCCAGUAAUCCCCCAAAAGUCUGAUUAUUUCCUUUUUCCCAAUGAAAAGUCACUCUUGUAAAAGGCCAUAGAUCCCUUUGGGGAAGACUGGAAGAAAGGCUAACAGUAUAAAUUUUUCUCAGUGUGGUGGGGUCCUUCUUCCAGAGGACCCAGCCUACCCUUUAUUCAAGGGGUUGUGGGUUUGUAAUCUGCCUCAAGUCUGGGAAUUGAUUGAGGAACUGUGACUCAUUAUUCUGAUGAUUUGAGUUAGAUUGCUGCUCACUUGACUUAGCAUUCUUCCGCUUCUAUAGAGCAAGUAAAUGUGUGGUAGAUUUUUCAUCUGUUUCACUCCUGGGUAUACCAGGACUAUGUAGGGAAUGCCAUAAGUCCAUAAGUGUCAGAUUACUCUGAUUACUGCUUUGACACCACCGUCCAUUAUGGCAACCAUGCCCACCUUAUCUUUGUUGAUUGAGUGCUGCCACAUGGCCACUUUCACCACUGUGUCCAAUCAGCCCCACUGUAGUUAGGUGUCUCAAUUCAGUUAAGGCAGUUCUCACUGUCAAAUCUGACUUACAUAAAAUAGCAAUCAGGGCAGUCUUCAAGGAUGCUGGGGCUCCCUUCACAAAUUUGUUCCAUUGUGGCAAAAGCUGUGUCCUCUGGGCACUCUAUGUAAGGGUCUGUGGUCUAACCUGAUAAAUCUACACUAACAUGUCAAUUUCCUUAAGCAUUAGGAUACCUUCUUUUAAGUAUACCGAUGCAGGUCUGGUACUUCAACUUGAUUUAGUGUAAGCCACUAUGCAUUUCAUGCUUCAGUGACCCAACCAAAUAUCUAUUAGAUCCUUUCCUAAUCUCUUGAACAGAAACACUGAAUGAAGGAUCUGUGCUUCUUGUUGUUGUUGUUAGGAGCCGUUGAGUUAGUUCUUACUCAUAGAGACCCUACGUAUCUUCUGCAAAAUUUUAGUUGUGUGUGAUACUAAUACUGUUCGAUUAUUUCUGCAUUCUGUUGAAUCACCUUUCUUUGGAAUGGGUGCAAAUAUGAACCUCUUCCAGUUGGUUGGCCAGGUAGCUAUUUUACAAAUUUCUUGGCAUAGAUGAGUGAGCACCUAUAGCGCUGCAUCCAUUUGUUGAAACAUCUCAACUGGUAUUCCAUCAAUUCCUGGAGCCUUGUUUUUCACCAAUGCCUUCAGUGCAGCUUGGACUUCUUCCUUCAGUACCACUGGUUCUUGAUCCUAUGCUACCUCCUGAAAUGGUUGAGUGGUGACCAAUUCUUUUUGGUAUAGUGACUCCGUGUAUUCCUUACAUUUUCUUUUGAUACUCCCUGGGUCGUUCAAUAUUUUGCCCACAGGAUCUUUUAUUAUUGCAACUUGAGGCUUGAAUUUUUAAUUCAGUUCUUUCAUCUUGAGAAAUGCCAAGCGUGAUCUUCCUUUUUGGCUUUCUUACUACAGGAUUUGGCAAUGACAAAUCUCUAAAAUUUAUGGAAAGGGAUUAAUCUCUAAAUUUUUUUUCCAUGAAAUUCGUGGAAAACUUCAACAUCUCAAAGACAAAAAGACAAAAAAUCAGUUAAAAUGUGGGCAAGGGACAUGAAUAGACACUUUGCCAAGGAAUACAUUCAGCCGGUCAACAAAUACAUGAAGAGAUGCUCAUGAUCAUUAGCCAUUAGAGAGAUGCAAAUCAAAACAACCAGAUAGCAUCUUAAAAUCUUACCACAGCAAAAAUGGCAAUGCUAAGUAAAAGAAGAAAAUAACAAAUGCUGGAUGGAGAAGGUGUAGGGAGAUUGGAACUCUCAUACUAUGUUGGUGGGGUUGUAAAAUGGUGCAAUCACUGUGGAGAAUGAUAUGAUACUUCCUUAAAAAGUUAGAAAUAGAGACACCUUAUGAUCCAGCAAUAUACAUCCUAGAGAAAUAAGAUCCAUGACACGAAUAGAUAUAUGCGCUCCCAUGUUCAUUGCAGCAUUAUUCACAAUAGCAAAAGGAUGUAAACAACCUAAGUGCCCAUCAACAGAUGAAUGGAUAAACAAACUAUGGUAGAUACACAUAAUAGAAUACUACACAAACUUAAAGAAUAAUGAUGAAUCUGAAAAAUAUCUCACAACAUGGAUGUACCUGGAGGACAUAAUGCUGCGUAUAAUAAGUCAAUCACAAAAGGACAAAUAUUAUAUGAUGCCAUGAUUAUAAAAAGUUAAGAAAAGGUUCACACACAGAAAGAAACAUUUUUGAUGGUUACCAGGGAUGGGAGGGGAGAGAGGGAAAAUCACUAGCUAGAUGGUAGACAAGUAUUAACUUGGAUGAAGGGAAAGGCAAUACACAAUAGGGGAGAUGUCAGCUGAACAUGACCAAGGCAAAGGAAAACACUGGGAGUAAUGCAAAAGUGAAAGGAAACAACGGUAAAUACUAUUACAUACACAAUCCUGCAGUAACAAUAACAACAGUAAUAAUAAUAAAUAAUAUAAAGUGGGUACAUAGGUAGAUAUAUAAGCUAAACAGGUGUGGGAUGGUGGUAUGGGAGUACACCCACAAGCAUACACUGGUUUGGUCGAGGGUAUUUUUACAUAUAUAUAUGUAUGUGCUGCAAAUAUAUCCAUGUAUGUAGUAGAGCACACAGGGGACAAAGUUAUAAAAACUUUUUAGCUGUAACCAAACAUCUUGAGGGACUGGGUCACUGGGCUUCAGGGCUUAGCACCAUAGUCUUAGGGGACAUCUAGGUCAAUUGGCAUGACAUAGUCCACAAAGACAAUGUUCUACAUCCCAUUUUGGUGAGUAACAUCUGGGGUCUUAAAAGCUUGCAAGCGGCCAUCUAACAUACAGUUAUUGGUCUCUUCCUGUCUGGUGUAAAGAAGAGUGAAGAAAAUCAAAGACUCAAGGAAACAAUUAGUCCAAAGGACUAAUGGACCACAAGAACCAUAACCUCCACUAGCCUGAGGCCAGAAGAACUAGAUGGUGCCUGGCUACCACUACCGACUGCUCUGAUCGGGGUCACAAUAGAAGGCCCUGGAUAGAGUGGAAAAAAAGUGUAGAACAAAAUUCAAAUUCACAAAAAAAGACUGGACUUACUCGUCUGAUAGAGACUGAUAGAACCCCCAAGAUUAUGGCCCUUAGACACCCUUCAAACCUGGAACUGAACCCACUCCCAGAGAUCACCUUUCAACCAAACAAUAGACAGGCCUAUAAAGUGAACAGUAACACCGGUGAGCAACGUGUUCCUCAGAGCAAUCAACCAUAUGAGACCGAAAGGGCAGCAUUUGCCCCAAAACAAAAUUCAGAAGGCAGGAAGGGGCAGGAAAGAUGGGCAAAUGGAAAUGGGGAACCCAGAGGGAAAAUAGGCAGAGUGCUGGCACAUUGAAGGGAUUAAAAGUAAUGUCAUGAAACAAAAUGUAUAAAUCGUUAAAUGGGAAACUAAUUUUUCUCUGUAAAAUUUCACCCAAACCACAAUAAAAUGUUUAAAAAAAAAAAAGGAGAGAAAAAAAAAAAGACUAAAA
Molecule: long non-coding RNA, 22774 nt
Organism: Loxodonta africana (African savanna elephant)
Lineage: Eukaryota; Metazoa; Chordata; Mammalia; Proboscidea; Elephantidae
Exons: 4
Source: RefSeq, a predicted model, not a curated record